UGGAGGAUUAGCUCAGCUGGGAGAGCAUCUGCCUUACAAGCAGAGGGUCACAGGUUCAAGCCCUGUAUCCUCCAUC
This 76-nucleotide transfer RNA is filed under the name Lactobacillus delbrueckii. RNAcentral's name for it is "tRNA-Val". It matches the Rfam family "tRNA". From Rfam's summary of the family: Transfer RNA (tRNA) molecules are approximately 80 nucleotides in length. Their secondary structure includes four short double-helical elements and three loops (D, anti-codon, and T loops). Lineage: Bacteria; Bacillati; Bacillota; Bacilli; Lactobacillales; Lactobacillaceae. The record is from RNAcentral.